GAUCCUGGCUCAGAUUGAACGCUGGCGGCGUGCUUAACACAUGCAAGUCGAACGCGAAAGUGGCUUCGGCCACGAGUAGAGUGGCGCACGGGUGAGUAACGCGUGGAUAAUCUGCCUCUGCAAUCGGAAUAACGACUGGAAACGGUCGCUAAUACCGGAUACGCUUAAGUUUUACCUCUUAAGGAAAGGUGACCUCUAUUUAUAAGUUUAAUCGUGCAGAGAUGAGUCCGCGUCCCAUUAGCUUG
Molecule: ribosomal RNA, 245 nt
Filed under: uncultured bacterium
Lineage: Bacteria
Description: partial 16S ribosomal RNA
Rfam family: Bacterial small subunit ribosomal RNA
Source: RNAcentral